Molecule: long non-coding RNA, 1216 nt
Organism: Silurus meridionalis
Lineage: Eukaryota; Metazoa; Chordata; Actinopteri; Siluriformes; Siluridae
Exons: 4
Source: RefSeq, a predicted model, not a curated record
GGGGAACGGACUUCAAAUAGAGAUUUUUUUAAUAUCCAAGGAAGCUCAAAAAUGGGAGAAUCUUCAGCUGCUGAUUGCAGUUCAAGGAUUACAUCAAGAAAUUUUGGGGGCCAGGAUGCUGGUGAAGAACAAAAAGGGAAUAUCACUGGGAUGUCUUCAAAGAAACUUCUCUGAAAAUAGAGCGCCUUGUUGCCUUGCUCCUGAUGAACAGGAAAAGAAUCCUGUUCAGUGUGUUGAAGAUCCCAUGCCUUUAAACGCCAUGGUUCUUUACGAAAACGAUUCUUUUCCCAUGUCAUUUUAGCCAAAAGGUGAAAAAACCCUAACGAUGCUGGAGAAGAAUCAGCAUGAUUUAGUUUAAAAUCGGAUUGAUAAUUAAAUUUCCGCAAAUGAAACUGGUGUUAAAUAUGUCAUUUAUCAAGCGAUGUAAUCAUCGGUAUCACAGACCUGCAUUUCUGUGCCUUAGAUGAAAGUAGAGUUCCCUUUAAUUGUUAAAAUUCAGUGUGAGAGAAUUUUAAGUGUGAGGAACUAAAAACAAAAACAGCUGAGACGAGAUUUCACUUACAAUAUAUAGCCUGUUAUUCAGCAAUUACAUCCAAUCAAUCUGUAAAAUCAUUUAAAUUCAUAGUACAAUGUAUAGUAUGCAUUACAUGAGUUACAACCAAAAAACUAAAACCUAAAUAUUCUAAUCCUGGGAACCCUAAAAAUGAGUGGGAAAAACACCCUUAAAACCCAUCUCGGUCUAUCUACUGUGAUAUUUUAUUAGAGUCAGAAGGAAAAUGAAGAACCCUGCAAAACCCCAUAAAUCCGAGCUCAGGAUCAAACCAAGAAUGCUGGAGCUAUGCGACAGUGAUGCUACAUUCUGCCAGCCUGCCUCAGAUAUAUGCCCACAUUUCCACCUUAUAUUCAGUACUUAACAAUUAAUCAAUGCAUCUUUACAUCUGCUUACGCAAUUAUCCAAUCAGCAGCACAGUGCAUCCAAACCUGCACCUACAAGUCAAAAGUUAAUGUUCAAAAUCAAACUCCAGAAUUCCAGAAAAUGCUUUUAGUGUGAGCAGAAACACCAUGUUGGAAAGGUCAAAGGAGAAUGCCAAGACUGGGUUGAACUGAUAGGAAUGCAAUAGUAACUAAAAAAACACUCUUUACAUUUACCAAUAAUUUUAAUAUUUAACACAGGCUCUUCUCAACCUGCUCCCUACUCUCACCACAAAUCACAAGA